UGCUCAGAGUGCAAAAGUUUAAGUGUGGAGGAAUUUGAUUAGUGUAUUUUAGUACACCACAUUUAACUUUGUGCUAAGGUAGAUUUUAUGACUAGCUACUGUUAUUUUAUUAUUUUUGUGUAUUUCCUAAGUUUAGCUUAUUUCAGUUUUUAUUUUAAUUUGAUUAUUUAUUUUCUGAAUAAACAAUAAUUUCACAUCUUCUCGUUCUGCAUGUCAUUACUUUAGCUACAAGAUAUCGUUUGAC
This 244-nucleotide long non-coding RNA is filed under the name Lathyrus oleraceus (garden pea). RNAcentral describes it as "Pisum sativum (pea) long non-coding RNA (PSAT_LNC012364)". Lineage: Eukaryota; Viridiplantae; Streptophyta; Magnoliopsida; Fabales; Fabaceae. The record is from RNAcentral.